ACAAAUACGAAAACAUCAUAAAGAAGAUGAAAUGAAUGUCCUUGCCUGUAUUAUUCAAAUGCAAAAGAAAUACUCAUAUCACAAUGAAAGGAGGCAACAACAUGGGAAUAAAUUUUCCUUUAAAUUGGAAGACACAGUGGCUUAUGCCACAAAUGAAAUAAAUUUCACAGGAGAAGAAAACAUUAUGGCUGGCUCAUCUUACAGUGGAAUCACAGUGACAUUAGCAGGAGUGUGACUGACAUAAGGCAGCAAGUUGUCCCAAUAGCUCAAACAAAAUGGGCUCAAUUUUA
This is a long non-coding RNA of Vidua macroura (Pin-tailed whydah), 290 nucleotides long. RefSeq lists it as uncharacterized. The record is from RefSeq and is a predicted model, not a curated record. Lineage: Eukaryota; Metazoa; Chordata; Aves; Passeriformes; Viduidae. The transcript has 2 exons.